This is a long non-coding RNA of Oreochromis niloticus (Nile tilapia), 1198 nucleotides long. The record is from Ensembl. NCBI's taxonomy places the organism in Eukaryota, Metazoa, Chordata, Actinopteri, Cichliformes, Cichlidae.
CUUCUCUAUAGCCUCCGCCACUGACCCUCGGAAACGGUUCCGGAUCCAAGGAGCAUUCACUGCCACUGAGCUUGGGCUCGCCAAACACUCACAUCCAGCUGAUGCACUGCAAAGGUCCUACCGCCACCUGCGAAGUCUUCCACUUCAUUCGUUUCACCAAGCUCAGCCAUUAUUGCUGAUUGGCUCUGACUACCCACAUCUCCUGACUCCAGUAGAGCCUGUACAUCUGGGACCACGGGGAGGACCAGCUGCACUCAAGACACGGCUGGGUUGGACUCUGCAAGGUCCAGCCAAGGUUCUUCUACAUCAAGCCUCCACUCCUCAGUGUCUACUCACAAGCACCCUGACUCCCAGUGCUGAACUUCUCAGGAAUGUAGCCAAGCUCUGGCAGAUGGAUGUUCUCCCAUACCAGAAUGAGAAAGUGGCCACACGUUCAAAACAGGAUACCAUGGCUGUCAAGACGCUAGAGGAGAAGACCAUUAGAGUGGAGGUGGAUAGUAUCAACCGAUAUGCCACCCCGUUGCUGUGGAAAGAGGAACCAGUCCCGCUUCAUUCCACUAAGGACUCUGUCCUGGGUCACCUGCGAGCCACAGAGAAGCGCCUCCUGAAGGAGCCUGUCCGAGCAGCCACCUAUAACCAGGAAAUUCAGAAGCUGGUGGAUGCAGGCUAUGUGAGUAAACUGACCAGUGCAGACAUGGAGAGAGAUGACAGCACCUGGUACAUACCACACCACAUGGUUCAUCAUAAUGGAAAGGAUCGCAUUGUCUUCAACUGUUCUUUUGUGCACAGUGGAACCAGCCUGAAUCAGCAUCUCCUAGCUGGUCCUACCCUAGGCUCGACGCUCCUGGGUGUGUUACUUCGCUUCCGGGAGUAUCCCAUUGCGGUGAGCAGUGACAUCAAGGGGAUGUUUCAUCAGGUCCGCCUCUUGACUCAGGACAAGCCUUUCCUCCGUUUCCUCUGGAGAGAUAUGGAUCGCACGAGGCAACCAGAUGUCUACGAAUGGCAGGUGUUGCCUUUCGGGACGACAUGCAGCCCCUGCUGUGCCACCUAUGCUCUGCAGCGGCACGUUCUGGAUCACAGCAGCCCCAGCGAAGAUACCCGUCACACAGUGGAGAAAUGUUUCUAUGUUGACAAUCUCCUCCAGAGCUUUGCAUCAUUUCCCGAAGCCCAGCAACUGGUUAACAAAAUCCAGCAGUUG